This 7866-nucleotide long non-coding RNA is filed under the name Panax ginseng (ginseng). RNAcentral's name for it is "long non-coding RNA (PGIN_LNC007994)". The record is from RNAcentral. Lineage: Eukaryota; Viridiplantae; Streptophyta; Magnoliopsida; Apiales; Araliaceae.
GAAUAGAUAUUUUGGGCAAAAAGAAAAAUUUUUAUUUUUCAGUGAAUAGUGUCGUAUUCGUGAAUAGUGCCGUAUACGUGAAUAGUAACCCCGACACAACAAGUUCCAAAUUUGAUAAAAAAGUUCACCAAUACUUCGGCAUAAUGAUAUUGAAGAAAAAAUAUCAUUUAAGAAGAAAAUAAUACCCCUUACCUCAAAAUAACCGUACUUCUGACUGAAUUUCGGUAUAGUGCUGACAGAAACCCGCACCGUAUAGCAACACUCAAAGUAUACUCACAAGAAUACGCUCGAUAAUUUAGAGAGAGAAAGAGAGAAAACUUAGUUUCUGGUGUGAUUUUCAAUUCUAACUUAGCCCUCUAUUUAUAGGAAAAUGUUAGAACGCCAAAGGAGACUAAAUUAAUAAAUUAUUAUUAUUUAAAAUUACAUUUCUACGCAUGCCAUUUGAACACUUCAGCCACCAGCCAACCUUGACCCAAUUUCCAGCAGCCCACAUGUUCAAACAAGAGUGGGUCCCACCCAUUAUUUAAUAAAAAUUAUUUUAUCUUCCGAAACUUCAAUAAUUCGUAGAAAAUAGCUCGUUUAUCAGAAAAAUUCGAAACUCGCGACUUUCCAUGGGAAAUUCCAUUCUCUACAACUUUGCAGAAGAAAAUUUUUCCAAAUUCCAAACAGAAAUUGACCGAAAUCCACAAACGGACGAUUUUACAGUCUAUAAUCAAUUUUCGGUCAAGAAUUGUGUCCACCGACACACAAAACAUAUGUUAAACAUUUAAUGCCACAAAAUACUCUACCUCCUCAUAUACUCAUAUAUCCCACAUUCAUUAUAAAAAUAUCACCGUUAAUAUAUUAUUAAAAUAAUAUAUUUAAAUGAAUUAUUUUAUCAGAAAAAGAUAAAAUAUUAAUUUUCAACAAUUGUCACAUUAAAAAUUUUCUCCAUCUAUAUCCACAUAAAAUAAAUAUUUUCUUUAUCAUAAUAAUCAAUAAUUAAUUAUUUAAAAAUAAUAUUACAGAAUCACAGUACUGACAACCAGGCCGUUCCCAGGAAAGAGGGGGCUUUCCAAUAAGGAUUUCUCCUUACUGGCGCGCAAUUAGGUGACCAAACCUCUCCUUAGACAGAACUUUCUAGACAUUGCCAAUAAUGUUAUCUGAUAAUAUUAUUCAAAUAAUAUGAAUUAUUGAUUUGAUAAUGGAAAAUACUGUGUAAUGACAAUUAUUGAAACAACAGCAAUACAAAAUAUCAACGCAGCAAUUAUUGAAUCAAUAAAAUAUAAUAUUGAACAGUAACUACUGUAACAAUUAUUGAGUAGUGCCUUCUUACGUAAGGAUCAAUAAUUCAAUAAUACUGUGCAAUACCGUGUGCUACUGUGCAACCACGCGUAUUACUGUAUUUUAACCACCAGGUAACCCAACAGUGUUAACGGUAACAAUUUACGUCGUUAUUUAUAAAACUCAAUCUUUGUCGUUUUCCUUCAUCCAACCGUUUUCCGUUAUGGGGCCCACCAAUGACUGCGCCGUCGUACGGAGAUUCCCGACAAAAAGAAUAUUCCACGACCAAACGAAUAUUCCCCGACAAUAAUGAAUAUUUUAUAACCACUUGCUUAUUUUGUAAACUUUGCACAUUUCACCCAUAACCAAAGAAUUAUAUCAAAUUAACCCUUAUUAAUUUAGAAUAAUGAAUAAAGGAAAAUUCAAUUUUAUUUAUAAUAAGUUGGGGUCUUACAACCUCCCCUCCUUAUGAAAUUUCGUCCUCGAAAUUGACGUACGUACCUGGUAUAUCGAAAAGGUGAGGGUACCUCGCUUUCAUCUCCGAUUCCAACUCCCAUGUCAUUUCCUCAAUUGCAUGGUUUCUCCACAAAACCUUAACUUGUGGUAUAACCUUCGUGCGUAAGACAUGCUCUUUCCUAUCCAAAAUCUCAACAGGUAUCUCCUCGUAGGUUAAAUCUUCAGCUAUCUCGUCUGGUUCUAAUGCAAUAAUGUGGUUCGGGUCUUUCACAUAUUUACGAAGCAUAGAUAUGUGGAAUACAUUGUGAACACGAGACAUACUUGGAGGUAACGCGAGUCUAUAGGCUACGUUUCCUAUUCGGUCAAGAAUCUCAAAUGGACCAACAAACCUUGGAUUGAGCUUUCCUCUUUUCCCAAAUCUUGUAACUCCUUUCCAUGGAGCAAUACGUAACAAUACAUGAUCUCCAAUAUUAAACUCCACGUCCUUUCUAUGAAGAUCAGCAUAACUCUUUUGUCGAUCUUGUGAAGUUUGAAUACGUUGUCGAAUCAUUUGGAUCUUUUCUGUAGUCAUGCGUACUAAUUCUGGUCCCAACAAUGUUGCUUCUCCCACCUCGUCCCAGCAUACUGGAGAACGACAUUUUCGUCCAUACAACGCCUCAAAUGGAGCCAUGCCUAUACUUGCUUGAUAACUGUUGUUGUAGGAGAAUUCCACCAGUGGUAGGUACUUAUCCCAACUUCCUUUGAAAUCUAGGACACAGAGUCUUAAUAGAUCUUCAAGGGUUUGAAUAGUCCUCUCUGAUUGUCCGUCCGUUUGAGGAUGGUAUGCUGAACUGAAUCGUAAAUCCGUGCCCAUAGCUUUCUGCAAGCUAACCCAAAAUCUUGAAGUGAAUCUCGGGUCACGAUCCGAAACUAUGGAUACUGGCAUGCCAUGCAAUCGUACAAUCUCAUUCACGUACAUACGAGCAAGACGUUCAAGGGGAUAAGUCUCGCGUAUCGGUAAGAAAUGGGCAGACUUGGUUAAUCUAUCAACAAUAACCCAAAUUGCAUCUACGCCUUGAGAAACUUUGGGAAGACCUGUAACAAAAUCCAUAGUAAUGUGUUCCCAUUUCCAUUCCGGAAUCUCAAGUGGUUGCAAUGGACCUUUUGGCACUUGAUGCUCCGCCUUUACACGUUGACAGGUUAAACAUCUUGAGAUAAACUCCGCAAUCUCUCUCUUCAUAUUGUUCCACCAAAAUGUAUGUCGAAUAUCAUGAUACAUUUUGGUACUCCCAGGAUGGAUUGCAAACGGGGUGUUGUGUGCCUCCAUCAUGAUUUUAUGCUUCAGGUCAGAAUCGUUAGGAACGCAAAGUCUAGAAUUGACUCGAAGUAUUCCUUCCUCAUCAAUUCUUGCUUCCGGAAUAGCUCCUUCUUGCACUUUCUUCUUCAUACGCAUCAGCCCCAGGUCCGUAGCUUGAGCAGCUUUAACUUUAUCGAUUAAAGUCGGUUCUACUUGUAUAUUCGCCAUCAUUAUGUGGGUCCCUGGAGUCUUUAAUUCUACCUCCAUCCUUUGCAAGUCAUACAAAAUGGGCCUUUGCGUUGACAAUAUCGCACUCGUACUUGCAUAUGAUCUUCUACUUAAUGCGUCAGCUACUACGUUCGCUUUUCCAGGAUGAUAUUGAAUAGUGUGAUCGUAAUCUUUUAACAGCUCCAGCCAACGUCGUUGCCGCAUGUUGAGUUCUUUUUGGGUGAAGAAAUAUUUGAGGCUUUUAUGAUCCGUAUAAAUCUCUACUUUCUCCCCGUACAAGUAGUGUCUCCAUAUCUUCAACGCAAACACGACUGCUGCCAACUCCAGAUCAUGAGUAGGAUAAUUCCUCUCAUAUUCUUUGAGUUGUCGUGAGGCAUAGGCUAUGACUUUCCCAUGUUGCAUGAGAACACAUCCUAACCCCUUGCCAGAAGCAUCGCUGUAGAUAACAAAUCCAUCUGAACCAGAUGGUAUUGUCAGAACAGGUGCCGAAAUGAGUCUCCUCUUGAGCUCUUGGAAGCUCUUCUCGCAUUCCUCGCUCCAUAAGAAUUUUGCAUCCUUCCGAGUCAGCUGAGUUAACGGAGUAGCGAUUCGAGAAAAUCCUUCCACAAAUCUCCGAUAAUAACCAGCUAAGCCCAGAAAGCUGCGUACUUCGGUCACCGACUUCGGUUGCUCCCAACUUUGUAUUGCUUCAAUCUUCGCCGGGUCAACAGAUACUCCUUGUUUUGACACCACGUGCCCAAGGAAUGCUACUUCCUCAAGCCAGAACUCGCAUUUCUUCAGCUUGGCAUAAAGCUUGUGUUCACGAAGUCUUUGUAGUACCAGCUUCAAAUGGUGCUCAUGAUCUUCACGGCUUUUGGAAUAGAUGAGGAUGUCAUCAAUAAAGACAACAACGAACUGAUCCAAAUAUUCCUUAAAUACACGGUUCAUCAUAUCCAUGAAAGCAGCAGGAGCAUUAGUCAAUCCAAAAGACAUGACCAAGAAUUCAUAAUGCCCGUAUCGAGUCCUGAAUGCCGUCUUUGGAAUAUCCUCAGUUUUAAUCUUCAGCUGAUGAUAUCCAGAACGAAGAUCGAUCUUUGAAAAGAAUUGCGCUCCUUGUAACUGGUCGAACAGGUCAUCAAUGCGAGGUAGCGGAUACCUAUUCUUGAUGGUGACAUGGUUCAAUUCUCGAUAGUCAAUACAAAGUCGCAUACUCCCGUCUUUCUUCUUUACGAAUAAAACAGGAGCACCCCAAGGAGACGUACUAGGACGAAUGAAACCGAUGUCUAAUAACUCCUGUAGUUGGACUUUUAACUCCUGAAGUUCAAUAGGAGCCAUUCGAUAUGGGGUUUUAGAAAUGGGCUUUGUACCCGGUUCAAGGUCAAUAAAGAAUUCAACAUCACGUUCUGGGGGUAGACCGGGAAGCUCUUCAGGAAAUACAUCAGGGAAUUCUCUAACCACAGAAAUAUUAUUCAAAUCUGACUUGUCUUUAUUCAAAUCCAUAACAUGGGCUAAGAAAGCUUGACAUCCGUUUUUCAAUAAACGAAUAGCUUUGUGGCUUGAUAUGACAGUGACUGAUUUUAGUGGUUUAGUGGUUUGAAUUCGUAUGACAGGUUGGUUAGGAAUAUGAAAACUAACAACCUUACGAAAACAAUCAAUUUUGGCAUGAUGAGUGGUUAACCAAUCAAUUCCUAAAAUCACAUCAAAAGCAAGUAUCUUUAAAGAGAUAAGAUCAACAGGUAAUGUGAUAGUGCCAACUUGGAUCAUGCAAGAUUUAUAAACUGUAGAUGUAACGAAGGUUUCACCCAACGGAGUUUCAACAGAUAAAUCAAAAUCUAAUUUCUCCGGAGUCAAGUUUAAACGUUGAGCACAAGCAGGAGAGAUAAAAGAAUGGGUAGAACCGGUAUCUAGUAAGGUAUAAACUUCGCAAGAAUUCAAGAUUAGCUUACCCGUGAUCACCUCGUUUGGGUUCCUCACGUUUUGUCCAGUCACGACAAACGCUCUUCCAGGAACCGCUGAUUUCGACUUAUCCGGGACAGCCCUUGGAAUCACCACUCCUGCUGAACUUGGUUUCGCGAUAGUACAAUCUCGAGCGAUGUGGCCUUCCUUUCCACAGUUGUAACAUACCUUGGAUUGUUGUGGACAGUUUGGGCUGAUAUGUCCCUCCUUCCCGCAUUUGUAACAUCUAACUGGCGGUCGUUCUCCUCCCCUAGCAUUUGUUGUUGGUGCUGGUGCUGCCGUUGAUAUCUUCCCGUCAUUGUUGAAUCUUCUCUUUCUGAAAUUUCCACUUGAGUCACCUCUCCUAUUAUCAUGUCCACGAUUACCACCUGAGUGGUUACCGCCUUUGUCCGUAUUCUUUCCUCCUCGCUGGUUAUCAUCGUUCUGAUGACUACCCUGAUUGUGGUCCCUCGGUUGAGUAUACUCACUAUCUCGCUCUAAUAACUGAGCCCUGUUGACAACAUCUGAAUACAGAGAAAAUUUAUGAGAGAUAAGGUAUUGACGAAUCUCUGGUUUUAGACCUCUCAGAAACAUACGCGUCAUUCGUUCCUCAUUCUCCACCAAAUGAGGUGCAAACCUGGAUAAUUCUGCGAACCUUGCCUCGUACUGAGACACCGUCAUGUUGUUCUGUUCGAGUCUAAUAAACUCUACCUCCUUCAUAUGACGAAUACUUUCUGGAAAGUACUUGUCAUUGAACAGUUUCUGAAAUCUUUCCCAAGACAUGUUAAGUGCAUCUGGCUGGGUACGCUUCACAGAUUCCCACCAGUAAUCUGCUUCACCACGAAACAUAAAGGUGGCGAAUGGAACCUUCUGUUCCUCCGUGCACCCCAAGACAUCGAAUAUCUUGGUAAUUUGCUUGACCCACGUUUCUGCCUUGAUCGGAUCCGGCUUUCCAUGGAAAUCUGGUGGUCCCAACUCCUUGAACUGCUUGGCUGUGACAGACCGUGCAUUGCCAUCAUUUCCACCCGUAUUUUGUACACGAGUCUCCCUUGUCUGAUUUUGCAUGAACUGCAAAAAGCUUCUAAACAUCCCGUCGUUCAUCAUUUGCUCAGUGGCGUUGUUCACAGGAGGAACAUUGCCAGCCUGUUGCACGUUCUCCUCGUUGGUGAGUACCGGCGUCUCCACGGUCUCAUAAACUCCAUUGUUAACGUUCUCAGCAGCCAUUCUUAAAUACUGCCAUAAAACAAGGGUUAAUUAAACAAAUUAACAUAUCACAUAAUAUCCUAUAUUAUGACCGACCAACAAAUAAGCUUAGGUAGGACACACUAGCGAAGGAUUUACUCGUCUCUCCCCUCCUAGUUCUAUUCCCCGAUCUCCGCCAGAGAUCAUAUCCCUAAGCUCUGAUACCAACUGUGACGCCCCCAAAAUAGGUAUACAACACCCAUUCUGAGUCGCCAAAAUACAUGGUAUAGAAAGCAAACUACAACUUUGACAAUACAGAUGUCGUGUAGAAUACGACAAUACAACUGUGAGUUUGAAUACAAAUAUUGUCUUCUAGACAAUAUACACACCCAAAUAAGUCCUCAUUAAUUAUUCAUACACUAUUUUACAGAAAUAGUGAGGACAGCUAAAACAUCUUCCUAGAACCAUCACUCCAUACCCCGACUCGAUCCUGCUAUGUUCUCACCUCCUGAGAAGAAAAAUGGAACAAAAAGGAAAAGGGUGAGCUCAACUAGCCCAGUAAAGAAUAUUAUGACUAAGAUAAUAUACAACAAAUUAUCGUUAGUCUUCAACAGGGAAAAAUCUAAUAGAAUACAAUAGACAACAAGUUUUAGAUCAACAAAUGCAGCGGAAACAGCAAUCCAUUAGAAGAGUCACGUAGAGAAAGAAUUCUACUGUCUUCUAAGGUUUAAAAGUCCAUCAUCAAUAGUUUAUCCCUGUAAUAACAAUCAAUAUACAUCUUUAAUCAUCUUUGCACUACAGGCCAAAGAUAUUCAUUUGUAUCACCAGUUGGUCAUGUUCAUCUCAACACCUGUUCAUCUUUGCACUACAGGCCAAAGAUAUUCAUCAGUUAAUCGUUCAUCUUUGCACUACAGGCCAAAGAUAUUCAUUUAUAUCACCAUUUAGGACUGAGGAUGAUGAAAAACAUUUUUAAAGAAACGAAUCCAGUGAAACAAAAUGACAAGGAUUAAGGAUUAAGGAUUCGUACUUUGUUUUACCCAUGUCCAAAAAUACUUCGAAAAUAAUCAUAUUGGUGUAAAAUUCAAGAAUGAUCAAAACAUGGAUACAAUCAAAGCUAGUAUCCAGAAUAGAUAUUUUGGACAAAAAGAAAAAUUUUUAUUUUUCGGUGAAUAGUGCCGUAUUCGUGAAUAGUGUCGUAUACGUGAAUAGUGCCGUAUACGUGAAUAGUAACCCCGACACAACAAGUUCCAAAUUUGAUAAAAAAGUUCACCAAUACUUCGGCAUAAUGAUAUUGAAGAAAAAAUAUCAUUUAAGAAGAAAAUAAUACCCCUUACCUCAAAAUAACCGUACUUCUGACUGAAUUUCGGUAUAGUGCUGACAGAAACCCGCACCGUAUAGCAACACUCAAAGUAUACUCACAAGAAUACGCUCGAUAAUUUAGAGAGAGAAAGAGAGAAAACUUAGUUUCUGGUGUGAUUUUCAAUUCUAACUUAGCCCUCUAUUUAUAGGAAAAUGUUAGAACGCCAAAGGAGACUAAAUUAAUAAAU